This 254-nucleotide ribosomal RNA is filed under the name uncultured bacterium. RNAcentral describes it as "partial 16S ribosomal RNA". It matches the Rfam family "Bacterial small subunit ribosomal RNA", at positions 524 to 776 of the family's 1533-position model. The record is from RNAcentral.
UACGGGGGGUGCGAGCGUUGUCCGGAAUCACUGGGCGUAAAGGGCGCGUAGGUGGUUUGAUAAGGGUGUGGUGAAAAGUCCGGGGCUCAACCCCCGGAUCUGCCGUGCCGACUGUCAAACUCGAGGGCUGUAGAGGCAGACGGAAUUCCGGGUGUAGCGGUGGAAUGCGUAGAGAUCCGGAGGAAGACCGGUGGCGAAGGCGGUCUGCUGGGCAGUUCUGACACUGAUGCGCGACAGCGUGGGGAGCAAACAGG